RNAcentral lists this ribosomal RNA (1097 nucleotides) under uncultured Porphyromonas sp. RNAcentral's name for it is "bacterial SSU rRNA". It matches the Rfam family "Bacterial small subunit ribosomal RNA", at positions 359 to 1533 of the family's 1533-position model. Lineage: Bacteria; Pseudomonadati; Bacteroidota; Bacteroidia; Bacteroidales; Porphyromonadaceae. The record is from RNAcentral.
UUAUGUAUGGGGGGGCGAAAGCUGGAACAGCCAAGUCGCGUGAAGGACGACGGUUCUAUGGAUUGUAAACUUCUUUUGUAGAGGAAUAAUGGCAGCUACGCGUAGCUGAGAUGCAUGUACUCUACGAAUAAGUAUCGGCUAACUCCGUGCCAGCAGCCGCGGUAAUACGGAGGAUACGAGCGUUAUCCGGAAUUAUUGGGUUUAAAGGGUGCGUAGGUGGCGUAUUAAGUCAGUGGUGAAAAGCUGCAGCUCAACUGUAGUCUUGCCGUUGAAACUGAUAUGCUAGAGAGGAGACGAGGUUUGCGGAAUGUGUGGUGUAGCGGUGAAAUGCAUAGAUAUCACACGGAACGCCGAUUGCGAAGGCAGCGUACCAGGCUCCGUCUGACACUGAAGCACGAAAGCGUGGGGAUCAAACAGGAUUAGAUACCCUGGUAGUCCACGCAGUAAACGAUGAAUACUAGAUUUUUGCGAUAUAGUGUAAGAGUCUAAGCGAAAGCGAUAAGUAUUCCACCUGGGGAGUACGCCGGCAACGGUGAAACUCAAAGGAAUUGACGGGGGCCCGCACAAGCGGAGGAACAUGUGGUUUAAUUCGAUGAUGCGCGAGGAACCUUACCCGGGAUUGAAAUUUAGAUGACGGCAGAUGAGAGUUUGCUUUCCUUCGGGACAUCUAAGUAGGUGCUGCAUGGUUGUCGUCAGCUCGUGCCGUGAGGUGUCGGCUUAAGUGCCAUAACGAGCGCAACCCGCGUCGAUAGUUACUAACAGGCUAUGCUGAGGACUCUAUCGAGACAGCCGUCGUAAGACGCGAGGAAGGGGCGGAUGACGUCAAAUCAGCACGGCCCUUACAUCCGGGGCGACACACGUGUUACAAUGGCAGGGACAAAGGGAAGCGACAUGGUGACAUGAAGUGGAUCUCCAAACCCCUGUCCCAGUUCGGAUCGGAGUCUGCAACUCGACUCCCGUGAAGCUGGAUUCGCUAGUAAUCGCGCAUCAGCCCAUGGCGCGGUGAUACGUUCCCCGGGCCUUGUUACACACCGGCCCAAGGCCGAAUUCCACAGUGAUUAUCCAAGCCUUAUCGAUACCGUCCAACACCUCGAGGG